AAACAACAAAAAUUCUUACCAAGAUUAAUAGAUUAGGCUAAAAUUGAUAAAAUUUAAUAAAAUUGAAAAGAAAGAGAAGUUCAGGGUUUUUUUAGGGGUUUUUUUAUCAUAAGACUGAAACUUUUUUGCCACUUUGUUAUAUUUUUCAAGGGUUAAAAAAGAUACACAAACAUAUUUUCUUAUUUAAAAAAUAGCAACAUUGAUGAUAGGAGUGAAGAAAAACGAAAGAUAAACUAAAAGGGGUGUUUGUUCUGGCCAUUAGAGGCCAACUAAUAGCUAAGCCAAUGUGUUUUGUAAAUAAAAUAUCUUAUCGAUUAGUUUAUGAUUACAAAAAUACCAAA
Molecule: unclassified non-coding RNA, 341 nt
Filed under: Hevea brasiliensis (rubber tree)
Lineage: Eukaryota; Viridiplantae; Streptophyta; Magnoliopsida; Malpighiales; Euphorbiaceae
Source: RNAcentral